Molecule: ribosomal RNA, 252 nt
Filed under: uncultured bacterium
Lineage: Bacteria
Description: partial 16S ribosomal RNA
Rfam family: Bacterial small subunit ribosomal RNA
Source: RNAcentral
UACGUAGGCAGCAAGGCGUUGUUCGGAGUUACUGGGCGUAAAGGGUGUGUAGGCGGUCCUCUAAGUCUGGUGUGAAAUCUCCCGGCUCAACUGGGAGGGUGCGCCGAAAACUGGAAGGCUAGAGUGCGGGAUGGGAGAGUGGAAUUCUGGUGUAGCGGUGAAAUGCGUAGAUAUCGAGAGGAACACCUGCGGCGAAGGCGGGUUGCUGGGCUGAUACUGACGCUGAGGCGCGGAAAGCUAGGGAGCGAACGG